CCAACUGAACGUGUUCCUCAAGUACUCCACUUUAGCAGCAACCUCCUCCUCGCUUUGGAAUGCAACAGCAUGCAGCGCUGCUCUGAACAUCCCAGAGCCACGGGGCACACCUAUGCCUUCGGCGCAUGCCACCAUCACCCGGAUGUGCUCUGUGUUGGUGGUGAGCAUCCUGGGCACAGCGAUUAACAGCUUGGCAAUAUCGCAAGCACCUAG
This 213-nucleotide ribosomal RNA is filed under the name Triticum aestivum (bread wheat). RNAcentral describes it as "partial small subunit ribosomal RNA". The record is from RNAcentral. Lineage: Eukaryota; Viridiplantae; Streptophyta; Magnoliopsida; Poales; Poaceae.